RNAcentral lists this long non-coding RNA (1027 nucleotides) under Gossypium barbadense (sea-island cotton). Its description in RNAcentral is "long non-coding RNA (GBAR_LNC008497)". Lineage: Eukaryota; Viridiplantae; Streptophyta; Magnoliopsida; Malvales; Malvaceae. The record is from RNAcentral.
CCUGAGAACAUGUAAGUGGCUGGAAGCAUAGAAAAGGACUUCUGGUUGAAAUGCAUGUAUGUACACUAAAAUUUCCAGGGCAAUAUUUCAAAAGACCUAUGGAGAGAGUUUAACAAUGUCAUUUUUAGCAACAAAUCGAGUUUAACAAUGUCAUUUUUAGCAACAAAUCAAAUUAUAGCAAGUUCAUAAGCAUGCCUUUUGAAAGCUUAAACAUUUCCUGAAACUGAUAUAUAGAACCUAUUCACCAAGUCUGCAUACCAGCCUCAACAAGCUUAGCAGCUUCUUCUAUAAUGGAUCUGCAGUCAGCAGAGCUUGGCCAUCAUAACAGGUGGCAGUACAAACAUAUCAUAAACAAGGUCUCCACUGCAGUUUUUGAGGAAGAUAGCAGGAUCUUCUAUCCUGGAUCGGAUAUAAGAAUCUUAAGCUUCACUGGCUACAGUUUUGACUAUUGAACCGUCUACACCUUAAUUAGUACCCAAUAAGAGGGUGAAUCAUGUUUAGGGGUAGGCAUAUUACGACCUUGAGAGAUCCAUAGUAAAAUUUGUAGUUCCUGUUUCCCUCGGAUCCUCCACAUCCACUGAACUAACUUCUCUCAGUAUGCAAAUACUCUUCUGGAGCAGAUUUCACAGAUAGAAACAUGCCUGCAUGGAUUUAGGAUCCAUAUAAUUCGAUUGCCCACCAUUAACAUGUCUAACCUUCCCAGAUGCAGUACCAACCGUAGAUUGAUGCAAUAAACAAACAUCUCAAUGAAGCCAGCAGCAAAAACGAACACUCACAACACAAGCCACCCUCUGAACAAGCAUUUAACAUCAAAAUCAGACAUUGCAUUGUUUUGAAGGAGCCCAAGUUCAGCCACGUUUUCUUUCACAGGCAUUUCACCAACAAGAAUGUUCUUCGGUUAAAGUCCUAUAGCAUAAACUGAUGAUAUCUGCAUCAUCCUGAAGAUAGGUUGAGGUUUUGUUAGCAUCAAGCUGCAUAUCACGAAGUCUAAACUAAAUACCACAAAAAAGGGAAAGCAAGGUAAAGG